AGCCGGUUAGCUCAGUUGGUAGGGCACUCGCUUAGUAAGCGAGGGGUCCUGGGUUCGAGCCCUAGACUAACUG
Mercenaria mercenaria is the source of this 73-nucleotide non-coding RNA. NCBI's taxonomy places the organism in Eukaryota, Metazoa, Mollusca, Bivalvia, Venerida, Veneridae. The record is from the annotation of a RefSeq genome assembly.